UACGUAGGGUGCAAGCGUUGUCCGGAAUCAUUGGGCGUAAAGCGCGCGUAGGCGGCCCGGUAAGUCCGCUGUAAAAGUCCAGGGCUCAACCCUGGAAAGCCGGUGGAUACUGUCGGGCUAGAGUCCGGAAGAGGCGAGUGGAAUUCCUGGUGUAGCGGUGGAAUGCGCAGAUAUCAGGAGGAACACCGAUGGCGAAGGCAGCUCGCUGGGACGGUACUGACGCUGAGACGCGAAAGCGUGGGGAGCGAACAGG
Molecule: ribosomal RNA, 253 nt
Filed under: uncultured bacterium
Lineage: Bacteria
Description: partial 16S ribosomal RNA
Rfam family: Bacterial small subunit ribosomal RNA
Source: RNAcentral